Long non-coding RNA from Cyclopterus lumpus (lumpfish), 832 nucleotides. RefSeq lists it as uncharacterized. The record is from RefSeq and is a predicted model, not a curated record. NCBI's taxonomy places the organism in Eukaryota, Metazoa, Chordata, Actinopteri, Perciformes, Cyclopteridae. The transcript is spliced from 3 exons.
GAGAGAGAGUGUGUGUGUGUGUGUGUGUGCACAUACAGUUGUAAAUAAAUGAACUUACUGUGCGUGCUGUUGGAGAAAGUGAUCCAUUGGGAAGCAGUGUUGUCAGACAGCAGUGAGGAGGAAUCCUGUGCACAGUGUAGCACUAAAGUGUUGUGUGUCUGCCUACCGACGCACCUCGACCAGGCAGCAUCAUGAAAGCAAAGCAGACUCCUCCGCUCAGCGAUCGCCGAUGCUCUUUAUCUGGGAGAGCCGGUGGAAGAAGAGGCACCCCGUCGCUCAGGGCCCUCCAAACCUGAGCCCACACAGACCAGACCAAAGCCGAGGAGCUCCGGGCUGGCCUCUCCCCGGAUUGCCUCAGCAGGCACCUGAGAGUUUACUGGGGGGCUGGCAGCGUGUUAUCAUGCCUGCCGUGGGGACACCUGCCUCUGAUGCCGCCCCGGUGAUUCUAAUCUACAGGACCCUUUAAUAAGAUGAUGAUAGGCUGCGUUGCCACUGCUGCUCUGAACGAUGGAGCAUGGAGCACGCACAGCUUUUGUGUUGGCGUUAUUCAUUUUGUUAUGGGCUUCGCGUGCUCACCUCUGCUCCACGUGCAUGCUGUGGUUCUGGUACAACUGGGGAUUGUCUCAUCCAUGCACUUCCCCGUCUCGGAGUGUGGAGGAAGUCAGAGGCAUCUCCACCGUCUGAUCACAAGGCUUCAGCUCUCUUUUGUGUAGUCUUCACCUGCAGCCCUGAUGAUGAAUCCAUACACUGAUUCUGACCUCAGCGUGUUUGAAUUGUUCACCAUUGGAUUUGAAGUCAGCAAUAAUCAGGGGUGGAUUUAAUUAUCAUUCUG